GACGAACGCUGGCGGCGUGCUUAACACAUGCAAGUCGAACGGAAAGGCCCUGCUUUUGUGGGGUGCUCGAGUGGCGAACGGGUGAGUAACACGUGAGUAACCUGCCCUUGACUUUGGGAUAACUUCAGGAAACUGGGGCUAAUACCGGAUAGGAGCUCCUGCUGCAUGGUGGGGUUGGAAAGUUUCGGCGGUUGGGGAUGGACUCGCGGCUUAUCAGCUUGUUGGUGGGGUAGUGGCUUACCAAGGCUUUGACGGGUAGCCGGCCUGAGAGGGUGACCGGCCACAUUGGGACUGAGAUACGGCCCAGACUCCUACGGGAGGCAGCAGUGGGGAAUAUUGCACAAUGGGCGGAAGCCUGAUGCAGCAACGCCGCGUGCGGGAUGACGGCCUUCGGGCUGUAAACCGCUUUCGCCUGUGACGAAGCGUGAGUGACGGUAAUGGGUAAAGAAGCACCGGCUAACUACGUG
RNAcentral lists this ribosomal RNA (467 nucleotides) under uncultured bacterium. RNAcentral describes it as "partial 16S ribosomal RNA". It matches the Rfam family "Bacterial small subunit ribosomal RNA", at positions 28 to 507 of the family's 1533-position model. The record is from RNAcentral.